RNAcentral lists this ribosomal RNA (424 nucleotides) under uncultured bacterium. RNAcentral describes it as "partial 16S ribosomal RNA". It matches the Rfam family "Bacterial small subunit ribosomal RNA", at positions 354 to 796 of the family's 1533-position model. The record is from RNAcentral.
GUUAGGAAUAUUGGACAAUGGGCGAAAGCCUGAUCCAGCCAUGCCGCGUGAACGAUGAAGGCCUUCGGGUUGUAAAGUUCUUUAGCCGAUGAUUAUAAUAACUGUAGUCGGAAAAUAAGCCCCGGCUAACUUCGUGCCAGCAGCCGCGGUAAUACGAAGGGGGCGAGCGUUAUUCGGAAUCACUGGGCGUAAAGCGUGCGUAGGCGGUUUUGUAAGUUAGGAGUGAAAGCCCAGGGCUCAACCUUGGAAUUGCUCUUAAAACUGCAAGGCUCGAAUCUCGGAGAGGAUAGCGGAAUUUCCAGUGUAGCAGUGAAAUGCGUAGAUAUUGGAAGGAACACCAGUGGCGUAAGCGGCUAUCUGGACGAGUAUUGACGCUGAGGCACGAAAGCGUGGGGAUCAAACAGGAUUAGAUACCCUAGAGUCC